AACGUAGGGGGCGAGCGUUGUCCGGAAUUACUGGGCGUAAAGGGCGCGUAGGCGGUUUAAUAAGUCUCAAGGUGAAAACUAUCGGCUUAACCGGUAGCCUGCCUGAGAAACUGUUAGACUUGAGGGCAGGAGAGGGGAGUGGAAUUCCCAGUGUAGCGGUGAAAUGCGUAGAUAUUGGGAGGAACACCAGUGGCGAAGGCGGCUCUCUGGCCUGUUACUGACGCUGAGGCGCGAAAGCGUGGGGAGCGAACGGG
This 254-nucleotide ribosomal RNA is filed under the name uncultured Pelotomaculum sp. Its description in RNAcentral is "partial 16S ribosomal RNA". It matches the Rfam family "Bacterial small subunit ribosomal RNA", at positions 524 to 776 of the family's 1533-position model. The record is from RNAcentral. Lineage: Bacteria; Bacillati; Bacillota; Clostridia; Eubacteriales; Desulfotomaculaceae.